RNAcentral lists this ribosomal RNA (598 nucleotides) under Phyllomimus sinicus. RNAcentral describes it as "12S ribosomal RNA". The stretch from base 187 to 591 matches the Rfam family "Microsporidia small subunit ribosomal RNA", at positions 752 to 1303 of the family's 1311-position model. Lineage: Eukaryota; Metazoa; Arthropoda; Insecta; Orthoptera; Tettigoniidae. The record is from RNAcentral.
UGGAAUUCAAAUGAAUUUUUUUGGUAUAAAAGUUUGACUUGAGAUAGAUAUUAAAUUAAUUUUGUUUUAAGAAGGUGAAAUUUAAAUAAAUAUAGUUAAUUUAUUUUGUUUAGUAAGAAACUUUGAAAUUAUAAUAAUAAACUAGGAUUAGAUACCCUAUUAUAUAUAAAGUGAAUUAUUUGACCAGAGUAGUAAUAGUUAUGAACUUGAAACUCAAAGAAUUUGGCGGUGUUUUAAUCUAGUCAGAGGAAUUUGUCCUGUAAUUGAUAUUACGCGAUUUAAUUGACUUAAUUUUGUAAUAUUUCAGUUUGUAUACCGCCGUUGUAAGAAUAUUUUUGGAGAAUUAUUUUCUUUAUUUUGGGUUAAAAUAUAACAGGUCAAGGUGCAGCUAAUAAUUAAGAAGAGAUGAAUUACAAUAAAAGUAUUUAUAUGGAUUUUAUUGUGUAAUUAAUAGAUGAAGGUGGAUUUGAAAGUAAUAUUAAUUUAUAAUGUUAAUAUGAUUAAGCUCUGAAACAUGUACACAUCGCCCGUCGCUCUCGUUAUAAGAUGAGAUAAGUCGUAACAAAGUAGGUAUACUGGAAAGUGUACCUAGAAAGUU